AGUGAACGCUGGCGGCAGGCCUAACACAUGCAAGUCGAGCGGCAGCGCGGGGGCAACCCUGGCGGCGAGCGGCGGACGGGUGAGGAAUUCGUCGGAAUCUGCCUUUUUGUGGGGGAUAAGGUAGGGAAACUUACGCUAAUCCCGCAUACGUCCUACGGGAGAAAGUGGGGGACCGCAAGGCCUCACGCGGAAUGAUGACCCGACGACCGAUUAGCUAGUUGGUGGGGUAAAGGCCCACCAAGGCGACGAUCGGUAGCUGGUCUGAGAGGAUGAUCAGCCACACUGGGACUGAGACACGGCCCAGACUCCUACGGGAGGCAGCAGUGGGGAAUAUUGCACAAUGGGCGCAAGCCUGAUCCAGCCAUGCCGCGUGUGUGAAGAAGGCCUUCGGGUUGUAAAGCACUUUUGUCCGGAAAGAAAUCCCUGGAGCUAAUACCUUCGGGGGAUGACGGUACCGGAAGAAUAAGCACCGGCUAACUUCGUG
Molecule: ribosomal RNA, 484 nt
Filed under: uncultured bacterium
Lineage: Bacteria
Description: partial 16S ribosomal RNA
Rfam family: Bacterial small subunit ribosomal RNA
Source: RNAcentral